UUAAGUUCAGCGGGUAUUCCUACCUGAUCCGAGGUCAACAUUUAGAUAGUUUUAGUUAAGACAGGCCCCAACCUUCCACCAUAGCGAUGUUUGUACGCCUGAGGUUGAUUGUAACCGUCGCUAAAUUUUAGGUAUGCCUUCCGGCAGUACCCAACGUCAAAUAGUGAUAUUUGAGGGGUGUAAUGACGCUCGAACAGGCA
Molecule: unclassified non-coding RNA, 200 nt
Filed under: Lecanoromycetes sp.
Lineage: Eukaryota; Fungi; Ascomycota; Lecanoromycetes
Description: partial internal transcribed spacer 2
Source: RNAcentral